CUUGAAAUACCCGCGAUGUUCGGGUCGGAGUCUGACGAUGGUCAGCAGGUGGCACUCUCGUUUUAGGAUUCCAGCUCCUAAGUCAUCUUCACAACAAGAUACAGAUUCUAUUAUCCUGCUGAUAGGCUGUGGGAAAACUGCUGGUAGAGAGGAAGAAGCUGGCAAUGGGCGUGCCAGCUGAUGAUGAGUGGAACAAAGUCCACGAGGAGUGGGAGGUGGAAGCUCGACGGAGCAGGUGGCAAGGAGAACUCAUCCACUGAGACAUGCAGUGCUGGAGGUGAAGCAGCCACAUGGUGACCAGGAGGCAACAAGCACGAAGACAAAAGCCACAUGCUAACAAAGACUGAAUGAAGAGAAAGGGCCUGUUGGGAGCAUUCUAUGUGUACUUAUUAGCCCUGU
Molecule: long non-coding RNA, 399 nt
Organism: Gorilla gorilla gorilla (western lowland gorilla)
Lineage: Eukaryota; Metazoa; Chordata; Mammalia; Primates; Hominidae
Exons: 3
Source: RefSeq, a predicted model, not a curated record